Molecule: ribosomal RNA, 468 nt
Filed under: uncultured bacterium
Lineage: Bacteria
Description: bacterial SSU rRNA
Rfam family: Bacterial small subunit ribosomal RNA
Source: RNAcentral
UAAGGAAUAUUGGUCAAUGGACGAAAGUCUGAACCAGCCAUCCCGCGUGCAGGAAGAAGGGGCUCUGCCUUGUAAACUGCUUUUGAAUGGGACGAAAGAGCUAUAUGCGUAUAGUGUUGACGGUACCAUUAGAAUAAGCACCGGCUAACUCCGUGCCAGCAGCCGCGGUAAUACGGAGGGUGCAAGCGUUAUCCGGAAUUACUGGGUUUAAAGGGUGCGUAGGCGGUGAUAUAAGUCAGUGGUGAAAGGCCGUAGCUUAACUAUGGGAUUGCCAUUGAUACUGUAUGACUUGAAUCAGGAUGAGGUUGGCGGAAUGUGGCAUGUAGCGGUGAAAUGCUUAGAUAUGCCAUAGAACACCGAUUGCGAAGGCAGCUGACUGGACCGGUAUUGACGCUGAGUGAGCGAAAGCCAGGGGAGCAAACGGGAUUAGAUACCCCCGUAGUCCCUGAGCGGGCUGGCAAGGCGCAU